Molecule: ribosomal RNA, 358 nt
Filed under: uncultured Cellulomonas sp.
Lineage: Bacteria; Bacillati; Actinomycetota; Actinomycetes; Micrococcales; Cellulomonadaceae
Description: bacterial SSU rRNA
Rfam family: Bacterial small subunit ribosomal RNA
Source: RNAcentral
CGUGGACAGGUGGUGCAUGGUUGUCGUCAGCUCGUGUCGUGAGAUGUUGGGUUAAGUCCCGCAACGAGCGCAACCCUCGUCCUAUGUUGCCAGCGGGUCAUGCCGGGACUCAUGGGAGACUGCCGGGGGUCAAACUCGGAGGAAGGUGGGGAUGACGUCAAAUCAUCAUGCCCCUUAUGUCUUGGGCUUCACGCAUGCUACAAUGGCCGGUACAAAGGGCUGCGAUACCGCGAGGUGGAGCGAAUCCCAGAAAGCCGGUCUCAGUUCGGAUUGGGGUCUGCAACUCGACCCCAUGAAGUCGGAGUCGCUAGUAAUCGCAGAUCAGCAACGCUGCGGUGAAUACCGGUUCCCGGGCCUU